CAAGAUGACUGGGUUAGUGAUGAACUGGUUGUUUACCGAAUACUUUGCCCUGAUGAGGUCAUUGGAAGUGUUAUUGGUAAGAGCGGGAAGGUGAUAAACUCAAUAAGACAAGAAACGAGGGCAAAGAUUAAGGUGGUUGAUCCAUUUCCUGGUGCUAAGGACCGUGUUAUAACAAUAUUCUGCUUUGUUAAGGAUAAGGAGGAUGUGGAAGUUGAUGAUGAGUUCAAUGACAGGCAAACAUUAUGUGCAGCCCAAGAUGCUCUUCUUAAAGUUCAUGCUGCCAUUGCUAAUGCACUGGCUUCUGCUGGAGAUUUAGACAGGAAACAGAGGGAUAAGGAACAAUGCCAAAUUCUUAUCCCUUCAAGCCAAUCUGCAAAUGUCAUUGGUAAGGCAGGAUCGACGAUAAAAAAGCUCAGAAGCAAGACAAGGACCAG
RNAcentral lists this unclassified non-coding RNA (434 nucleotides) under Hevea brasiliensis (rubber tree). Lineage: Eukaryota; Viridiplantae; Streptophyta; Magnoliopsida; Malpighiales; Euphorbiaceae. The record is from RNAcentral.